AUGGCAUGUCAUGUAGCAAUGUGGCCUGCUUUUGUUUGUUUCCUUAUUUCUCCCACUCAACAUUCCAUGUCCCCAAAGGCUAAAUGGACCAGACACCCAUCUGGGUCUGCUCACAUUCAGAGAGUUUUUCAUCAAAGAUGUCCAAAAGAAAAAUCCAACGGCUCUGAUCAACUGGGUUUUCACUUUUUGUUCCGUUAUUACAAUCUGAUCACAGACUGUACACACUCAUGCAGAAACCAAAAAAGCGAUAUAAAGAGAGAAGAAGAAGAAGAAGUAACAAAAAAGCUGGUGGGUUUCUGCUACGGCUUUCAAAAUUUUGGUGUGAAAGACAGAGCAUUAACAGCGACAGUGCAAAGGCAGCCGAUCCCAUAA
Molecule: long non-coding RNA, 372 nt
Filed under: Prunus dulcis (almond)
Lineage: Eukaryota; Viridiplantae; Streptophyta; Magnoliopsida; Rosales; Rosaceae
Description: sRNA ncRNA
Source: RNAcentral